Molecule: transfer RNA, 71 nt
Filed under: Tilletia indica
Lineage: Eukaryota; Fungi; Basidiomycota; Exobasidiomycetes; Tilletiales; Tilletiaceae
Also listed under: 1 other name
Description: tRNA-Met
Rfam family: tRNA
About the family: Transfer RNA (tRNA) molecules are approximately 80 nucleotides in length. Their secondary structure includes four short double-helical elements and three loops (D, anti-codon, and T loops). Further hydrogen bonds mediate the characteristic L-shaped molecular structure. tRNAs have two regions of fundamental functional importance: the anti-codon, which is responsible for specific mRNA codon recognition, and the 3' end, to which the tRNAs corresponding amino acid is attached (by aminoacyl-tRNA synthetases). tRNAs cope with the degeneracy of the genetic code in two manners: having more than one tRNA (with a specific anti-codon) for a particular amino acid; and 'wobble' base-pairing, i.e. permitting non-standard base-pairing at the 3rd anti-codon position.
Source: RNAcentral
GCGCUUUAGUGUAUUGGUAGCACAGUAAGCUCAUGCCUUGCUAGACUAGAGUUCGAAUCCUAGAAUGCGCU